GACGAACGCUGGCGGCGUGCUUAACACAUGCAAGUCGAACGGUGAAGCGCCUUCCUUUUUGGUGGGUGUGGAUGAGUGGCGAACGGGUGAGUAACACGUGAGUAACCUGCCCCCUUCUUCUGGAUAACCGCAUGAAAGUGUGGCUAAUACGGGAUAUUCUGGGUCUGUCGCAUGAUGGGUCUGGGAAAGAUAUUGUUUCGGUGGGGGAUGGGCUCGCGGCCUAUCAGCUUGUUGGUGGGGUGAUGGCCUACCGAGGCGGUGACGGGUAGCCGGCCUGAGAGGGUGGACGGGCACACUGGGGAGGAGACACAGCCAAGACUCGUACGAGAGGCAGCAGUGGGUAAUACUGCACGAUGCGGGCAAGCCUGAUGCAGCGACGCCGCGUGAGGGAUGGAGGCCUUCGGGGUGAGAGCUUCUUGCGCCAGUGAAGCAGGCCUGCCUCGUUUGUGGGUGGGUUGACGGUAGCUGGAUAAGAAGCGCCGGCUAACUACGUG
RNAcentral lists this ribosomal RNA (494 nucleotides) under uncultured bacterium. RNAcentral describes it as "partial 16S ribosomal RNA". It matches the Rfam family "Bacterial small subunit ribosomal RNA", at positions 28 to 507 of the family's 1533-position model. The record is from RNAcentral.